RNAcentral lists this transfer RNA (76 nucleotides) under Clostridia bacterium. Its description in RNAcentral is "tRNA-Lys". It matches the Rfam family "tRNA". From Rfam's summary of the family: Transfer RNA (tRNA) molecules are approximately 80 nucleotides in length. Their secondary structure includes four short double-helical elements and three loops (D, anti-codon, and T loops). Lineage: Bacteria; Bacillati; Bacillota; Clostridia. The record is from RNAcentral.
GACCCGGUAGCUCAGCCGGUAGAGCACAUGACUUUUAAUCAUGGUGUCCGGAGUUCGAUUCUCCGUCGGGUCACCA